UCCUGGUGGCUUAAUCGGUAAAGAAUCUGCCUGUAGUGCAGGAUGCCUGGGUUUGAUCCCUGGGUCAGGAA
Molecule: transfer RNA, 71 nt
Filed under: Ovis aries (sheep)
Lineage: Eukaryota; Metazoa; Chordata; Mammalia; Artiodactyla; Bovidae
Rfam family: tRNA
About the family: Transfer RNA (tRNA) molecules are approximately 80 nucleotides in length. Their secondary structure includes four short double-helical elements and three loops (D, anti-codon, and T loops).
Source: Rfam by way of RNAcentral